AGGUACCGCUCACCUUCUCUUGAUUGCGCCCGGUACAGGCGCGGUGUUGAAGAGA
RNAcentral lists this non-coding RNA (55 nucleotides) under unclassified sequences. The record is from RNAcentral.